RNAcentral lists this ribosomal RNA (1325 nucleotides) under metagenome. Its description in RNAcentral is "bacterial LSU rRNA". It matches the Rfam family "Bacterial large subunit ribosomal RNA", at positions 1561 to 2925 of the family's 2925-position model. The record is from RNAcentral.
AGUGGAUGGGGAGCAACCUAGUUGUGCGUGUGUAAAGGUAGUGCCAAGAAAAGCGAUGAUCAUGUUGAAAAUCAAUUCCCGGUACCCGAAACCGACACAGGUGGGCAAGUAGAGAAUACUAAGGGGCGCGAGGUAACUCUCUCCAAGGAACUCGGCAAAAUGACCCCGUAACCUAGGGAGAAGGGGUGCCACCGAGAGGUGGUCGCAGUGAAGAGGCCCAGGCGACCGUUUAGCAAAAACAUAGGUCUCUGCAAACUCGAAAGAGGAGGUAUAGGGGCUGACGCCUGCCCAGUGCCGGAAGGUUAAAGAAGUUGGUCAGUCUUAGGAUGAAGCUAGCGACUGAAGCCCCGGUGAACGGCGGCCGUAACUAUAACGGUCCUAAGGUAGCGAAAUUCCUUGUCGGGUAAGUUCCGACCCGCACGAAAGGCGUAACGAUCUGGGCGCUGUCUCGGAGAGAGGCUCGGCGAAAUAGGAUUGUCUGUGAAGAUACGGACUACCUGCAUUUGGACAGAAAGACCCUAUGAAGCUUUACUAUAGCUUGGAAUUGUGUUCGGGCUUCCUGUGCGCAGGAUAGGUGGGAGGCGUAGAAGGUAUUCUUGUGGGGAUACUGGAGCCAACGGUGAGAUACCACUCUCAGGAUGCUAGAAUUCUAACUUAAUUAAGGACAGUUUCAGGUGGGUAGUUUGACUGGGGCGGUCGCCUCCAAAAAGGUAACGGAGGCGUACAAAGGUUCCCUCAGACUGGUUGGAAAUCAGUCGAAGAGUGCAAAGGCAGAAGGGAGCUUGACUGCGAGAAGUACAGUUCGAGCAGGGUGGAAACACGGUCUUAGUGAUCCGACGGUGCUGUGUGGAAGGGCCGUCGCUCAACGGAUAAAAGUUACUCUAGGAUAACAGGCUGAUCUCCCCCAAGAGUUCACAUCGACGGGGAGGUUUGGCACCUCGAUGUCGGCUCAUCGCAACCUGGGGCGGAAGUACGUCCCAAGGGUUGGGCUGUUCGCCCAUUAAAGCGGUACGUGAGCUGGGUUCAGAACGUCGUGAGACAGUUCGGUCCAUAUCCGAUGUAGGCGUGAGAAUAUUGAGAGGAGCCUUCCUUAGUACGAGAGGACCGGGAAGGACGCACCGCUGGUGUACCUGUUAUGAUGCCAAUUGUAAACGCAGGGUAGCCAAGUGCGGAGAGGAUAACCGCUGAAAGCAUCUAAGUGGGAAGCCCACCUCAAGAUGAGUAUUCUGGUGUAAGGUCACGGGAAGACGACCCGUAAAUAGGCACGAGGUGGAAGUGCAGAGAUGUAUGAAGCCGAAGUGUACUAAUAGACCGUCGGCUUGACC